GACGAACGCUGGCGGCGUGCUUAACACAUGCAAGUCGAACGGAAAGGCCCCUUUGGGGGUCCUCGAGUGGCGAACGGGUGAGUAACACGUGAGUAACCUGCCCUUGACUUCGGGAUAACUUCAGGAAACUGGGGCUAAUACCGGAUAGGAAUCCUUGCUGCAUGGUGGGGGUUGGAAAGCUUCGGCGGGUUUGGAUGGACUCGCGGCUUAUCAGCUUGUUGGUGGGGUAGUGGCUUACCAAGGCUUUGACGGGUAGCCGGCCUGAGUGGGCGACCGGCCACAUUGGGACUGAGAGACGGCCCAGACUCCUACGGGAGGCAGCAGUGGGGAAUAUUGCACAAUGGGCGGAAGCCUGAUGCAGCAACGCCGCGUGCGGGAUGACGGCCUUCGGGUUGUAAACCGCUUUCAGCAGGGGCGAAGCUUGUGGUGACGGUACCUGCAGAAGAAGCACCGGCUAACUACGUG
This 465-nucleotide ribosomal RNA is filed under the name uncultured bacterium. Its description in RNAcentral is "partial 16S ribosomal RNA". It matches the Rfam family "Bacterial small subunit ribosomal RNA", at positions 28 to 507 of the family's 1533-position model. The record is from RNAcentral.